Molecule: long non-coding RNA, 317 nt
Filed under: Ananas comosus (pineapple)
Lineage: Eukaryota; Viridiplantae; Streptophyta; Magnoliopsida; Poales; Bromeliaceae
Description: long non-coding RNA (ACOM_LNC005320)
Source: RNAcentral
ACUAUAUCAUGAGUAAUAUAUUCAUUCGCUCCCGUAAAGCAUCGAAUUGUGUAUUUAAGACAACAUUCUUCUCUAUUACAAUUUACUAAACGAUACAUUCUCCUCUCAAAAUUUGCAUAGGUCGUAUCUGAACGAAUCGUGAUCAAUUUCUUUCGAUCACCGAAAUAUCGGAGACCAUUCCCAUCCAUAUCUAACUGUCCAUCCCAAUGAACACUAAGAGACAUCCGACGACUAGCCAUUUUAAUUACACAGAAAAAUAAAUCAACAACAUUCUCCAUGUUCUCAUCAGCGAAAGCUAAAUCUAAGUGAAAUGAUAA